GAUUGGAAUGACGUCUGUCGAGCUUGCUCACAGGCACAUCAUAUCCAUAACACCUGUGCACUUGUCGGAUGGCUUAGUGAAGACCGCAAGGUUGGAACUAUCCGUCUACUUUACAUAACAAUUCUGUAACAAAUGUAGUCUUAUUAUAACAUAAUAAAACUUUCAACAACGGAUCUCUUGGCUCUCGCAUCGAUGAAGAACGCAGCGAAAUGCGAUAAGUAAUGUGAAUUGCAGAAUUCAGUGAAUCAUCGAAUCUUUGAACGCACCUUGCGCUCCUUGGUAUUCCGAGGAGCAUGCCUGUUUGAGUGUCAUGAAAACCCUCAACCUUAGAUUGGUUAAAACCUUUCUUUGGCUUGGAUUUGGACGUUUGCCGAUGAUAAGUCGGCUCGUCUUAAAAGUAAUAGCUGGAUCUGUCUCGCGACAUGGUUUGACUUGGCGUAAUAAGUAUUUCGCUAAGGACAUCUUCGGAUGGCCGCGUUGCAAGACUAAAGACCGCUUUCUAAUCCAUUGAUCUUCGGAUUAAUAUUCUUGACAUCUGGCCUCAAAUCAGUAGGACUACCCGCUGAACUUAAGCAUAUCAAUAAGCGGAGGAAAGAUCUUAAUGAUUGAACGUCUGUCGAGCUUGCUCACAGCACAUCAUAUCCAUAACACUGUGCACUUGUCGGAUGGCUUACGAAACGACGGUUGAAACUAUCGUCUACUGUACUACAUUCUGUACAAUGUAGUCUUAUUAUACUAUUAACUUUCACUACCGAUCCUUGCCCUCCAUCGGUGAAAACAACGAAUGCGCUCAUAUGGUGAAUGCGAAUCUGGAAUCUCGAUCUUUGAACGCCCUUGCCUCCUUGGUAUCGGGAACAUGCUGUUGAGUGCUGAAAACCUCAACUUAGAUUGUCAAACUCUCUUUGCUUGAAUUGGAGUUUGCCGAUCGAAAACCGCGUCCUAAACGAAAUACUGGAAUCACUCCGCGACAGGGUUGGAUCUGGCGCAAAAAAGUAUUUUCUCAGGACAUCUUGCAGAGGCGCGUUGCCAAAAUAAAGACCGUUUCACCUUUGUUGGGAUAAUGUUCUUGGAUCUGGGGCCCCACCGGGCGAAAUCGCUGCACAUAUACACUCUAUCAUCUAUAACGCGGGAGAAA
Molecule: ribosomal RNA, 1135 nt
Filed under: Naganishia uzbekistanensis
Lineage: Eukaryota; Fungi; Basidiomycota; Tremellomycetes; Filobasidiales; Filobasidiaceae
Description: eukaryotic LSU rRNA
Rfam family: 5.8S ribosomal RNA (bases 158-311)
Source: RNAcentral